AACGCACAUUGCGCCCUUUGGUAUUCCUUAGGGCAUGCCUGUUCGAGCGUCAUUCAACCCCUCAAGCACUGCUUGGUGUUGGGCGCUUGUCCCGCCUCGGGCGUGGACUCGCCUCAAAAUCAUUGGCGGCCCUUGUGAUCGGCUUCGAGCGCAGCACAUUAGCGUCUCGCGUCCGUCACAGGGGCGUCCAGCAAGCCUAUAACCCAAUUUUGACCUCGGAUCAGGUAGGGAUACCCGCUGAACUUAA
This 247-nucleotide unclassified non-coding RNA is filed under the name uncultured Ascomycota. RNAcentral describes it as "sequence contains ITS2". The record is from RNAcentral. Lineage: Eukaryota; Fungi; Ascomycota.